GACGAACGCUGGCGGCGUGCUUAACACAUGCAAGUCGAGCGAGGACAAUUAGCAAUAGUUGUUCGAGCGGCGGACGGGUGAGUAACGCGUGAGCAAUCUGUCCCAGACAGGGGAAUAACAGAUGGAAACAUCUGCUAAUACCGCAUAAGACCACGAUUUCACAUGGGGUCGGGUAAAAGGCGAAAGCCGGUUUGGGGUGAGCUCGCGUCCGAUUAGCUAGUUGGCGGGUAACGGCCCACCAAGGCGACGAUCGGUAGCCGACCUGAGAGGGUGAUCGGCCACACUGGAACUGAGAGACGGUCCAGACUCCUACGGGAGGCAGCAGU
Molecule: ribosomal RNA, 326 nt
Filed under: uncultured bacterium
Lineage: Bacteria
Description: bacterial SSU rRNA
Rfam family: Bacterial small subunit ribosomal RNA
Source: RNAcentral